UAGGGAAUAUUGGGCAAUGGAGGCAACUCUGACCCAGCCAUGCCGCGUGAAGGAUGAAGGUCCUACGGAUUGUAAACUUCUUUUAUUAGGGAAGAAACCCUUGAAUUCAUUCGAGGCUGACGGUACCUAAGGAAUAAGCACCGGCUAACUCCGUGCCAGCAGCCGCGGUAAUACGGAGGGUGCAAGCGUUAUCCGGAUUCACUGGGUUUAAAGGGUGCGUAGGUGGAUCGAUAAGUCAGUGGUGAAAGCC
Molecule: ribosomal RNA, 250 nt
Filed under: uncultured bacterium
Lineage: Bacteria
Description: partial 16S ribosomal RNA
Rfam family: Bacterial small subunit ribosomal RNA
Source: RNAcentral